This 496-nucleotide long non-coding RNA is filed under the name Olea europaea (common olive). RNAcentral describes it as "long non-coding RNA (OEUR_LNC005175)". Lineage: Eukaryota; Viridiplantae; Streptophyta; Magnoliopsida; Lamiales; Oleaceae. The record is from RNAcentral.
UGCAGAGAUCGUCGAGUAGUUCUUGAGGAGGAAGGGCGUUUUUCGAAGAAGCGCUCGAGGAUCGAUGAAGCCCACUCGACAUUGUCAAUCAUCAAGAAUUCAAACCCUAAUUUCAAAUUUCAAUUGUACACAAAAUCAAAAGUCUGUAUAUAAAGACGGUGAAAGGGGUGGGUCUGCGUAGUCUGAUUCAGUCAAAUAUGGAAAAGUAUAAAAAGGAGGGGGUAAAUAUGCAAAGAGACUCGAGGGAAGAAACGUCAAGGACCAAAUUGAAAUACUUCUUACUUUCUGAUUAUUUGUUACAUUGAAUACAAUUUAGAGAAAUUAUUGAUUCUUCAAUGCUGAUAUUCCAUGAAUCUUUGGUUGCAUUUUCAUAGUUGGAAUUGUGCUUAGAAUUAAUAAGCCAUUCAAGAUUUUUUUAUUUUUUUUGUUUAUUUUAUGGGAGAAUGUAUGAUUGAAGAUGAGUUUUGAAAUGGUGGGGAUUAAACAUAGACUUAAU